GCCAAUGUGGCAUAGUGGUUUGAGUGUUGGACUAGGACUCUGGAGACCAGGGUUUGAAUCCCAGUUUGGCC
RNAcentral lists this transfer RNA (71 nucleotides) under Phrynosoma platyrhinos (Desert horned lizard). Its description in RNAcentral is "tRNA-OTHER". The record is from RNAcentral. Lineage: Eukaryota; Metazoa; Chordata; Lepidosauria; Squamata; Phrynosomatidae.